RNAcentral lists this ribosomal RNA (866 nucleotides) under uncultured bacterium. RNAcentral describes it as "bacterial SSU rRNA". It matches the Rfam family "Bacterial small subunit ribosomal RNA", at positions 62 to 947 of the family's 1533-position model. The record is from RNAcentral.
UCGAACGAGAAGCUUGUUUUCGGAUGAGCGGAAAGUGGCGAACGGGUGAGUAACAUGUUGGUGACCUGCCCUUGAGAGGGGGACAACCAUUGGAAACGAUGGCUAAUACCCCAGAUGUCAACUUUUUUAGAAAGGGUUGACUAAAGUUCCGGCGCUCAAGGAGGGGCCAGCACCCCAUCAGCUAGUUGGUAAGGUAACGGCUUACCAAGGCGAAGACGGGUAGGGGACGUGAGAGCGUGAACCCCCACACUGGUACUGACACACGGACCAGAUACCUACGGGUAGCAGCAGCGAGGAAUCUUGCGCAAUGGGCGAAAGCCUGACGCAGCAACACCGCGUGGAGGAUGAAGCAUUUCGGUGUGUAAACUCCUUUUAUGGGUGAAUAGAACGGAAGGUAACCCAAGAAUAAGGUCCGGCUAACUACGUGCCAGCAGCCGCGGUAAAACGUAGGGACCAAGCGUUAUCCGGAAUUACUGGGCGUAAAGGGCACGCAGGCGGUUUAGUAAGUUGGAUGUGAAAGCUCCCGGCUCAACUGGGAGAGGUCAUUCAAAACUGCUGAACUUGAGGAUGACAGAGGAGAGUGGAAUUCCCGGUGUAGUGGUGAAAUGCGUAGAUAUCGGGAGGAACACCAGUGGCGAAAGCGGCUCUCUGGGUCAUUACUGACGCUCAGGUGCGAAAGCUAGGGGAGAGAACGGGAUUAGAAACCCCGGUAUUCCUAGCCGUAAACGAUGUCAACUAGUGUUGGGGGUAACCAAUCCCUCAGUACUGCAGCCAACGCGAUAAGUUGACCGCCUGGGGACUACGCCGCAAGGCUAAAACUCAAAGGAAUUGACGGGUUCCCGCACAAGCAGCGGAGCGUGUGGUUU